Molecule: ribosomal RNA, 2927 nt
Filed under: Kosakonia sacchari
Lineage: Bacteria; Pseudomonadati; Pseudomonadota; Gammaproteobacteria; Enterobacterales; Enterobacteriaceae
Description: bacterial LSU rRNA
Rfam family: Bacterial large subunit ribosomal RNA
Source: RNAcentral
GGGUUGUGAGGUUAAGCGACUAAGCGUACACGGUGGAUGCCCUGGCAGUCAGAGGCGAUGAAGGACGUGCUAAUCUGCGAAAAGCGCCGGUAAGGUGAUAUGAACCGUUAUAGCCGGCGAUGUCCGAAUGGGGAAACCCAGUGUGACUCGUCACACUAUCAUUAACUGAAUCCAUAGGUUAAUGAGGCGAACCGGGGGAACUGAAACAUCUAAGUACCCCGAGGAAAAGAAAUCAACCGAGAUUCCCCCAGUAGCGGCGAGCGAACGGGGAGGAGCCCAGAGCCUGAAUCAGCUUGUGUGUUAGUGGAAGCGUCUGGAAAGUCGCGCGAUACAGGGUGACAGCCCCGUACACAAAAGCACACAGGCUGUGAGCUCGAUGAGUAGGGCGGGACACGUGGUAUCCUGUCUGAAUAUGGGGGGACCAUCCUCCAAGGCUAAAUACUCCUGACUGACCGAUAGUGAACCAGUACCGUGAGGGAAAGGCGAAAAGAACCCCGGCGAGGGGAGUGAAAAAGAACCUGAAACCGUGUACGUACAAGCAGUGGGAGCCUCUUAAUGGGGUGACUGCGUACCUUUUGUAUAAUGGGUCAGCGACUUAUAUUCUGUAGCAAGGUUAACCGAAUAGGGGAGCCGAAGGGAAACCGAGUCUUAACUGGGCGUUAAGUUGCAGGGUAUAGACCCGAAACCCGGUGAUCUAGCCAUGGGCAGGUUGAAGGUUGGGUAACACUAACUGGAGGACCGAACCGACUAAUGUUGAAAAAUUAGCGGAUGACCUGUGGCUGGGGGUGAAAGGCCAAUCAAACCGGGAGAUAGCUGGUUCUCCCCGAAAGCUAUUUAGGUAGCGCCUCGUGAAUUCAUCUCCGGGGGUAGAGCACUGUUUCGGCUAGGGGGCCAUCCCGGCUUACCAACCCGAUGCAAACUACGAAUACCGGAGAAUGUUAUCACGGGAGACACACGGCGGGUGCUAACGUCCGUCGUGAAGAGGGAAACAACCCAGACCGCCAGCUAAGGUCCCAAAGUCAUGGUUAAGUGGGAAACGAUGUGGGAAGGCCCAGACAGCCAGGAUGUUGGCUUAGAAGCAGCCAUCAUUUAAAGAAAGCGUAAUAGCUCACUGGUCGAGUCGGCCUGCGCGGAAGAUGUAACGGGGCUAAACCAUGCACCGAAGCUGCGGCAGCGACACUGUGUGUUGUUGGGUAGGGGAGCGUUCUGUAAGCCUGCGAAGGUGGCCUGUGAGGGUUGCUGGAGGUAUCAGAAGUGCGAAUGCUGACAUAAGUAACGAUAAAGCGGGUGAAAAGCCCGCUCGCCGGAAGACCAAGGGUUCCUGUCCAACGUUAAUCGGGGCAGGGUGAGUCGACCCCUAAGGCGAGGCCGAAAGGCGUAGUCGAUGGGAAACAGGUUAAUAUUCCUGUACUUGGUGUUACUGCGAAGGGGGGACGGAGAAGGCUAUGUUAGCCGGGCGACGGUUGUCCCGGUUUAAGCGUGAAGGUGUGUGCUCCAGGCAAAUCCGGAGUGCUUUAACACUGAGGCGUGAUGACGAGGCACUACGGUGCUGAAGUAACAAAUGCCCUGCUUCCAGGAAAAGCCUCUAAGCAUCAGGUAACACGAAAUCGUACCCCAAACCGACACAGGUGGUCAGGUAGAGAAUACCAAGGCGCUUGAGAGAACUCGGGUGAAGGAACUAGGCAAAAUGGUGCCGUAACUUCGGGAGAAGGCACGCUGAUAUGUAGGUGAAGCGACUUGCUCGUGGAGCUGAAAUCAGUCGAAGAUACCAGCUGGCUGCAACUGUUUAUUAAAAACACAGCACUGUGCAAACACGAAAGUGGACGUAUACGGUGUGACGCCUGCCCGGUGCCGGAAGGUUAAUUGAUGGGGUCAUCCGUAAGGAGAAGCUCUUGAUCGAAGCCCCGGUAAACGGCGGCCGUAACUAUAACGGUCCUAAGGUAGCGAAAUUCCUUGUCGGGUAAGUUCCGACCUGCACGAAUGGCGUAAUGAUGGCCAGGCUGUCUCCACCCGAGACUCAGUGAAAUUGAACUCGCUGUGAAGAUGCAGUGUACCCGCGGCAAGACGGAAAGACCCCGUGAACCUUUACUAUAGCUUGACACUGAACACUGGUCCUUGAUGUGUAGGAUAGGUGGGAGGCUUUGAAGCGUGGACGCCAGUCUGCGUGGAGCCAUCCUUGAAAUACCACCCUUUAAUGGCUGGUGUUCUAACGUGGACCCGUAAUCCGGGUUGCGGACAGUGUCUGGUGGGUAGUUUGACUGGGGCGGUCUCCUCCUAAAGCGUAACGGAGGAGCACGAAGGUCAGCUAAUCCUGGUCGGACAUCAGGAGGUUAGUGCAAUGGCAUAAGCUGGCUUGACUGCGAGCGUGACGGCGCGAGCAGGUGCGAAAGCAGGUCAUAGUGAUCCGGUGGUUCUGAAUGGAAGGGCCAUCGCUCAACGGAUAAAAGGUACUCCGGGGAUAACAGGCUGAUACCGCCCAAGAGUUCAUAUCGACGGCGGUGUUUGGCACCUCGAUGUCGGCUCAUCACAUCCUGGGGCUGAAGUAGGUCCCAAGGGUAUGGCUGUUCGCCAUUUAAAGUGGUACGCGAGCUGGGUUUAGAACGUCGUGAGACAGUUCGGUCCCUAUCUGCCGUGGGCGCUGGAGAAUUGAGGGGGGCUGCUCCUAGUACGAGAGGACCGGAGUGGACGCAUCACUGGUGUUCGGGUUGUCAUGCCAAUGGCACUGCCCGGUAGCUAAAUGCGGAAGAGAUAAGUGCUGAAAGCAUCUAAGCACGAAACUUGCCCCGAGAUGAGUUCUCCCUGAGACUUUAAGUCUCCUGAAGGAACGUUGAAGACGACGACGUUGAUAGGCCGGGUGUGUAAGCGCAGCGAUGCGUUGAGCUAACCGGUACUAAUGAACCGUGAGGCUUAACCUUACAACGCCGAAG